CCUACGGGAGGCAGCAGUGGGGAAUAUUGGGCAAUGGAGGAAACUCUGACCCAGCGACGCCGCGUGCGGGAUGAAGGCCUUCGGGUUGUAAACCGCUUUCAGUAGGGAAGAAGCGAAAGUGACGGUACCUACAAAAGAAGCACCGGCUAACUAUGUGCCAGCAGCCGCGGUAAUACAUAGGGUGCAAGCGUUGUCCGGAAUUAUUGGGCGUAAAGAGCUCGUAGGUCGUUUGUUACGUCGGAUGUGAAAACCUGAGGCUCAACCUCAGGCCUGCAUUCGAUACGGGCAAACUAGAGUUUGGUAGGGGAGACUGGAAUUCCUGGUGUAGCGGUGGAAUGCGCAGAUAUCAGGAGGAACACCAAUGGCGAAGGCAGGUCUCUGGGCCAAUACUGACACUGAGGAGCGAAAGUCUGGGGAGCGAACAGGAUUAGAUACCCUGGUAGUCCAGACCGUAAACGGUGGGCACUAGUUGUGGGAACCUUCCACGGUUUCUGCGACGCAGCUAACGCAUUAAGUGCCCCGCCUGGGGAGUACGNUCGCAAGAUUAAACUUAAGAUAGUACGCGNGAGAGAGCGACGACGACGACGACGGAGGAGGAG
Molecule: ribosomal RNA, 599 nt
Filed under: uncultured bacterium
Lineage: Bacteria
Description: bacterial SSU rRNA
Rfam family: Bacterial small subunit ribosomal RNA
Source: RNAcentral